Molecule: ribosomal RNA, 252 nt
Filed under: Planococcus sp. (in: firmicutes)
Lineage: Bacteria; Bacillati; Bacillota; Bacilli; Caryophanales; Caryophanaceae
Description: Planococcus sp. (in: Bacteria) partial 16S ribosomal RNA
Rfam family: Bacterial small subunit ribosomal RNA
Source: RNAcentral
AGCAGUAGGGAUCUUCCGCAAUGGACGAAAGUCUGACGGAGCAACGCCGCGUGAGUGAAGAAGGUUUUCGGAUCGUAAAACUCUGUUGUGAGGGAAGAACAAGUACCAAUUAACUACUGGUACCUUGACGGUACCUCACCAGAAAGCCACGGCUAACUACGUGCCAGCAGCCGCGGUAAUACGUAGGUGGCAAGCGUUGUCCGGAAUUAUUGGGCGUAAAGCGCGCGCAGGCGGUCCUUUAAGUCCGAUGUG